AUGGACACCAGACUACUCUGCUGUGCGGUCAUCUGUCUUCUGGGGGCAGGUCUCUCAAAUGCCGGCGUCAUGCAGAACCCAAGACACCUGGUCAGGAGGAGGGGACAGGAGGCAAGACUGAGAUGCAGCCCAAUGAAAGGACACAGUCAUGUUUACUGGUAUCGGCAGCUCCCAGAGGAAGGUCUGAAAUUCAUGGUUUAUCUCCAGAAAGAAAAUAUCAUAGAUGAGUCAGGAAUGCCAAAGGAACGAUUUUCUGCUGAAUUUCCCAAAGAGGGCCCCAGCAUCCUGAGGAUCCAGCAGGUAGUGCGAGGAGAUUCGGCAGCUUAUUUCUGUGCCAGCUCACCACC
Non-coding RNA from Homo sapiens (human), 347 nucleotides. NCBI's taxonomy places the organism in Eukaryota, Metazoa, Chordata, Mammalia, Primates, Hominidae. The record is from the annotation of a RefSeq genome assembly.